CUAAAGGUACGAAACACUACUACAUAUAAACAAUGGUCACACGAUACAGUAUUUGGAUACAUCAGUUUCCCCACUACUAGAUUCAUCGAGGCAAAUGCGAACUCUAGUGCUCAAUAUUUGAAAAUAAACGUUAGCCAGUCUUUCCUUGUAUGUCAUUGUGCGAAGUUGUCCGUUUGGCGUAGUUCGUAAUAAGCCACAGAUUAUUCGUUUCAAAUGGUCUUUUAAACCAAUAUGCAUAAACUGUGAGUGACUGUGUACCUAUUGAGUGGAAUGAAAUUAUCCUGCAACUGGAUAAUGCAAAGGCACUUAGCAACUGUACGAUUUCGAAUUACCUACGAUCGGUCCUCGAAAAACAGACGAGAGGACAAUAGAUAUGGGUAGGACAGGAGACAAAGGCCUGCAUCUAAGGGGUCAAUUGGUUGGAAAAUUCGAGCAAUGGAACCGGCUGCAGAUCCUCCUCUUCUCUCUAAUUAAGGAUUGGUCAAAUUAUCUUUGUAAAAUCGUAUUCAUGAAAACGAAAGACGAUUGUGCUUUUGAUUAGACCUUCUUUCCAUUUGCACCACUUUGAACUCACGCAACACAUUGAAGAUCAUCGUACUUACGUGUCUAUCUUAUUAGAGAUGUAUACAGAAUAAACUAACACUAUAGUCCGAGGAGAUCUUUCCAAGCAGUGUCAGACUUCAGCACUAUACCCAUGGUAUACCCGUGAGUCAUUCUCGAAAGCACGUCUAGAAGAUCCCACGGGCAUUCCCUUAUCUUGCAUUGUCGAGCUGGGUCGCAGAUCUUCUCACAACUGCCUGAGGUUCUCUUUAAAAAACGCAAUGCACGAACAUCGUGUGGCAGCUUAUGAAGCUGUCCCUUGAAUACCUAAUCCACUGCCUCAACCACAGCCAUUUUAAAAUCCGCUAACAAUGCCCCAACUUCAGUUUCGACAAUUAGGUACUAAUUACGUCGUAAUUAGCGCUGUAAUUAAUAAGUUAUCAGUACCUAAAUACUUACUUUAUUAGUAAUUGGUAGUUCGUAAUUGGUAGUUUAGCGUGCAACGAAUUUUUUUUUUUUUUUUUUGUUGAAAACUUUUCGAUCACAGCUUUAUCCUUUUGCAAAUUGUUUAUCUUGUUUUAUUUUAUUUCAUUUUAUGUAUUUUUUAUUAAGUUACGAAUAUAGUAGCAGCGACGAGUGGCGAGGAUGGCGGCGUGUAGCAAUGAGAUCCGAAACAAUUCGAAUUAUGAUUCAAGACUCAAUGGAGACUUUUACGAGUUUUAAGCUUCGAAUCCUAUUCGAAGUUAUUCAAAUUUGUCGCCGCAUACACGAUAGAGAUUCGAACUGUUUCAGAUCUCACACCACUACUCGCCGCUUCGCUAUAAUCUCGUACUUAGACGUUUCUAGUAUAUUGAUUUUGUAAUUCAUUUUUGUGUCGUCAUUAUUUAUUUAAACCGAAUUGCGUUACCGAUUAUUGAUUAUUUCAAUAGCGUUCAACGUGUAAUUAGGUAGCCAACUGGUUAGGUAUGAAUUACGUAAUCAACUAAUCGAUUUAAAAAUAUGCAAUUGACGUAUGACGUAUAUGGAAUCGAAAUGGCAAAUUUUGGAUUUGAUUAGAUACGACAUAUUACUAUUAUUAAUAUUAGCAAACUACCUUUCGUAAAACACAAACUUUUAGUUUGAAACAUUAACGCAAUAACGUAGCAAAAAUUUGUUGUUGAAGUGAAGGAAAAAUAACAGAUAUUUGUUUGUUAUAAUCCUGUAAAUUUAAAAGCAUGAAACAUUUUGAAACUAUACGAGUAUUUAUAAUUUAGAAGAUAUAUUAACAUCCAUUGUAUUGCUAUAUUUAAUGCAUAACUAACAUAGCUAAUAAGCAGUUUAGUUAACACAUUCGCAACAUUACGUAUUACUGUUAAAUAUGCUAUAAAAAGAAAAUAAUAGUGUAAUUUCUGCUAAAUAAUAUAAAUACUUGAAACUUCAUUUUUAGGUUGCCGAAUAAUCAUGUACAAAAAUUAGUAGGUAUAACUACAUAGAAAGAAAAAUACUUAGUUAAGCCUAAAAUAUGCUGAAACAUAAUCGCAGGAAAAUAUUUAGGUAAAGUAUUCAACGAUAAAGUAUUUCAAUAUUUUAAGACUUAUACACCAUUAAUAAAAUAUGUAAAAAUUAAUGAAAUUUGUGAUCUUCGGAAAGUACAAUGGAAAAAUCAAUAAUGCAGCAGGGAAUAUUCGUGGUGUAUAUUAAUAUUGAACAAAUGCAAUUGUAAUUUAAAAUUAACUUAGCUGAAA
Molecule: long non-coding RNA, 2264 nt
Organism: Bombus impatiens (common eastern bumble bee)
Lineage: Eukaryota; Metazoa; Arthropoda; Insecta; Hymenoptera; Apidae
Exons: 5
Source: RefSeq, a predicted model, not a curated record